GACAUGAGUAGCGUUAAAGGGGGUGAAAAGCCCCCUCGCCGUAAGCGCAAGGUUUUCUACGCAACGUUCAUCGGCGUAGAGUGAGUCGGCCCCUAAGGCGAGGCAGAGAUGCGUAGCUGAUGGGAAACAGGUCAAUAUUCCUGUACCGAUCAAUAGUGCUAUGUGGGGACGGAGAAGGUUAGCUCAGCCAACUGUUGGAUAUGUUGGUUCAAGCCUGUAGUCGUGCCCGGUAGGCAAAUCCGCCGGGCUAAGAUGAGGGGUGAUAACGAGUCUGCUUGCAGACGACGUGCGUGAUACCCUGCUUGCAGGAAACGCCACUAAGCUUCUGCUAUUGACGAC
This 339-nucleotide ribosomal RNA is filed under the name Bacillus sp. SRB_8. RNAcentral's name for it is "bacterial LSU rRNA". It matches the Rfam family "Bacterial large subunit ribosomal RNA", at positions 1299 to 1642 of the family's 2925-position model. The record is from RNAcentral. Lineage: Bacteria; Bacillati; Bacillota; Bacilli; Caryophanales; Bacillaceae.